RNAcentral lists this ribosomal RNA (443 nucleotides) under uncultured Planctomycetales bacterium. RNAcentral describes it as "bacterial SSU rRNA". It matches the Rfam family "Bacterial small subunit ribosomal RNA", at positions 40 to 495 of the family's 1533-position model. The record is from RNAcentral. Lineage: Bacteria; Pseudomonadati; Planctomycetota; Planctomycetia; Planctomycetales.
CGGCGUGGAUUAGGCAUGCAAGUCGAGCGAGAAAUUUACUUCGGUAAAUGGACAGCGGCGAAAGGGACAGUAAUGUGUAGGUACCUACCCUCUGAUCUGGGAUAGCUGCGGGAAACUGCAGGUAAUACCGGAUAAUGUCUUCGGACCAAAGGUGUGAUUCCGUCUGAGGAGGGGCCUGCAUCCUAUUAGCUUGUUGGUGAGGUAAUGGCUCACCAAGGCAACGAUGGGUAGCGGGUGUGAGAGCAUGACCCGCGUCAUUGGGACUGAGACACUGCCCAGACAUCUACGGAUGGCUGCAGUCGAGAAUCUUCGGCAAUGGGCGAAAGCCUGACCGAGCGACGCCGCGUGCGGGAUGAAGGCCCUCGGGUUGUAAACCGCUGUCGUUGGGGAGGAAAUGCAGGAGGGCUAUCCCUCUUUUUGACCGAUCCAAGGAGGAAGUACGG